AUUGAACGCUGGCGGGAUGCCUAACACAUGCAAGUCGAACGAGUGGCGGACGGGUGAGUAAUGUCUGGGAAACUGCCCGAUGGAGGGGGAUAACUACUGGAAACAGUAGCUAAUACCGCAUACUAUUGGAUGUGCCCAUAUGGGAUUAGCUAGUGGGUGGGGUAAAGGCUCACCAAGGCGACGAUCCCUAGCUGGUUUGAGAGGAUGACCAGCCAAACUGGGACUGAGACACGGCCCAGACUCCUACGGGAGGCAGCAGUGGGGAAUGUUGGACAAUGGGGGAAAGCCUGAUGCAGCCAUGCCGCGUGUAUGAAGAAGGCCUUCGGGUUGUAAAGUACUUUCUGCAGAGAGGCGUUAUCCGCAGAAUAAGCACCGGCUAACUACGUGCCAGCAGCCGCGGUAAUAC
Molecule: ribosomal RNA, 406 nt
Filed under: uncultured bacterium
Lineage: Bacteria
Description: partial 16S ribosomal RNA
Rfam family: Bacterial small subunit ribosomal RNA
Source: RNAcentral